AACAAAGAAACAAAACAAAAAAUCCAGUCCCUCUUUAAACGUAAAUUGCUCUCACACUUGUUUUAACUAAAUGUUUACCAUAUAUAUAAAUUGAAAUCAUUUCAACAACAGGCUACUGUCGUACUGAUGACAAGUUUUCAUUCAGCAUCUCUGCAUCUUCAAGUUCAAGGUCACAACAAGUUUGUCUUACAUGAACUGGUUCCCUGAUUGCAUUUGGAUAACAGACGUUCUUCUAUCGCACUGCAACUCAGGACUCUUGUAGAAGUUGAACUUUACCAGUUUGAAGGUGUACAACUGUGCAAGUAUUGAACAUCAGCUUCAAAUGCAAUGUGAUCUAAAAGACAGCAUAAUAAUGGACAGAUGUUCUCUGGUCGUUAGUACUUGUUUGCCACACACAUGAAGAUAUUGAUCCUGCUUUCAGCUAAAUAUCAGAAAAAUUAAGAACAAAGGAAAGGAUGCUGAAACUGUACAGUUACCGGUCAGGAUUAUUUCAGAAGUGAAAUUAUAAUACAAUAUAUGUUACUGGCUAAUUCCUAUGAUUUGUAAUUUUAAACAAAACACAUAGACUUUGCAUUAUUGUUUUACAAGAGAGACACCAAAAGAUGCAGUCAACA
Molecule: long non-coding RNA, 614 nt
Organism: Mytilus californianus (California mussel)
Lineage: Eukaryota; Metazoa; Mollusca; Bivalvia; Mytilida; Mytilidae
Exons: 3
Source: RefSeq, a predicted model, not a curated record